RNAcentral lists this ribosomal RNA (375 nucleotides) under uncultured organism. Its description in RNAcentral is "partial 16S ribosomal RNA". It matches the Rfam family "Bacterial small subunit ribosomal RNA", at positions 527 to 896 of the family's 1533-position model. The record is from RNAcentral.
GCAGGUGGCAAGCGUUGUCCGGAAUUAUUGGGCGUAAAGCGCGCGCAGGCGGUUCUUUAAGUCUGAUGUGAAAGCCCACGGCUCAACCGUGGAGGGUCAUUGGAAACUGGAGAACUUGAGUACAGAAGAGGAAAGCGGAAUUCCACGUGUAGCGGUGAAAUGCGUAGAGAUGUGGAGGAACACCAGUGGCGAAGGCGGCUUUCUGGUCUGUAACUGACGCUGAGGCGCGAAAGCGUGGGGGAGCAAGCAGGAUUAGAUACCCUGGUAGUCCACGCCGUAAACGAUGAGUGCUAAGUGUUAGGGGGUUUCCGCCCCCCCCUUAGUGCUGCAGCUAACGCAUUAAGCACUCCGCCUGGGAGUACGGCCGCAAGGCUG